This 7774-nucleotide long non-coding RNA is filed under the name Homo sapiens (human). RNAcentral's name for it is "non-protein coding LINC00342:3". Lineage: Eukaryota; Metazoa; Chordata; Mammalia; Primates; Hominidae. The record is from RNAcentral.
GGGUGGGGGUAGGGGGGAGGUAUAGCAUUGGGAGAUAUACCUAAUGGUAGAUGACGAGUUAGUGGGUGCAGCACACCAGCAUGGCACAUGUAUACAUAUGUAACUAACCUGCACAAUGUGCACAUGUACCCUAAAACUUAAAGUAUAAUAAAAAAAAAAGAUGGAAAGGAAAAACUGGUACCAGCCACUGCAAAAAUGUACUGAAGUACAAAGACCAAUGACACUAUGAAGAAACUGCAGCAACUAGUGAGCAAAAUAACCAGCUAGCAUCAUGGUGACAGGAUCAAAUCCACGCAUAACAAUAUUAACCUUAAGUGUCAAUGGGCUAAAUGUACCAAUUAAAAGACACAGACCAGCAAUUUGGAUAUAAAGAGUCAAGAUUCAGGUGUGCUGUAUUCAGGGUUCCUAUCUCAUGUGGAAAGACACACGUAGGCUCAAAGGGAUGGAGGAAAAUUUACCAAGCAAAUGGAAAGCAGAAAUAAGCAGGGGUUGCAAUCCUAGUUUCUGACAAAACAGACUUUGAAUCAACAAAGAUAAAAAAAAGACAAAGAAUAGCAUCACACAAUGAUAAAGGAAUCAAUUCAACAAGAAGAGCUAACUAUCCUAAAUAUGUAUGCACCCAAUACAGGAGAACCCAGAUUCAUAAAACAAGUCUUUAGAGACCUACAAAGAGACUCAGGCUCCCAUACAACAAUAGUCGGAGACAUUAACACCCCAUUGUAAAUAUUGGAUCAUCUAGACAGAAAAUUAACAAGAAAGGACUGGAACACAGCUCUGGAUCAAGUGAAUCUCAUAGAUAUCUACAGAACUCUCCAACACAAAACAACAGACUAUAUAUUAUUCUCAGUGGCAUAUGACACUCUAAAGUUGAUCACAAAAUUAGAAUUAAAACACUCCUCAGCAAAUGCAAAAUAACUGAAAUCAUAACAAUCUCUCAGACCACAGUGCAAUCAAAUUAGAACUCAAGAUUAAGAAACUCACUCAAAACCACACAACUACAUGGAAAUUGAACAACCUGCUCCUGAGUGACUUCUGGGUAAAUAAUAAAAUUAAGGCAGAAAUCAAGAAGUUCUUUGAAACCAAUGAGAACAAAGAGACAAUGUACCAGAAUCUCUGGGAGGCAACUAAAGCAGUGUUAAGAGGUAAAUUUAUAGCACUAAAUGCCCGCAUCAUAAAGCUAGAAAUAUCUCAAAUCAAUACCCUAACAUCACAACUAAAAGAACUAGAGAAGCAAGAGCAAACAAAUCCAAAAGCUAGCAGAAGAGAAAAAAAAAAUGACUAAGAUCAAAGUGGAACUGAAGGAGACAGAGACAUGAAAAACCCUUCAAAAAAAAAAAAACAAGAAAUAAAACGUGUUCAAAUAGCAAGAGAUAAAAUCAAAUUGUCUCUGUUUGCAGAAAACGUGAUUCUAUAUCUAGAAAACCACAUUGUCACAGCCCAAAAACUCCUUAAGCUGAUAAGCAAGUUCAGCAAAGUCUGAGGAUACAAAAUCAAUGUGCAAAAAUCACAAGCAUUCUUAUACACCAGCAAUAGACAAUAUUCUUCAAUUCCUAUACACCAAUAAUAGACAAGAGAGCCAAAUCAUGAAUGAACUCCCAUUCACAAUUGUUACAAAGAGAAUAAAAUACCUAGGAAUACAGCUAAUGAUGGGUGUGAAGAACCUCUUCAAGGAGAACUACAAGCCACUGCUCAAAGAAAUAAGAGAGGACACAAACAAAUGGAAAAAUAUUCCAUGCUCAUGGGUGGGAAGAAUCAGUCUCAUGAAAAUGGCCAUACUGCCCAAAGUAAUUUAUAGAUUCAGUGCUAUUCACAUCAAACUACCAUUGACAUUCUUCACAGAAUUAAAAAAAAAACUACUUUAAAUUUCAUAUGCAACCAAAAAAGAGACUCAAUAGUCAAGACAAUCCUAAGCAAAAAGAACAAAGCUGGAGGCAUCAUGCUAUAUGACUUCAAACUAUACUGCAAGGCCACACUAAUCAAAACAGCAUGGUACUGAUACCAAAACAGACACACAGACCAAUGGAACAGAAUAGAGAUCUCAGAAAUAAGACCACACAUCUACAACCAUCUGAUCUUUGACAAACCUGACAAAAACAAGCAAUAGGGGAAGGAAUACCUAUUUAUUCAUUUAUUUAUUUUGAGACAAAGUCUCACUCUGUCACCAGGCUGGAGUGCAGUGGCAUGAUCUCAGUUCAUUGCAACCUCUGCCUCCCGGAUUCAAGUGAUUCUCCUGCCUCAGUCUCCCGAGUAGCUGGGACUACAGGUUCGAGCCACCACGCCCAGCUAGUUUUUGUAUUUUUAGUAGAGACGGGAUUUCACCAUGUUGGCCAGGAUGGUCUUGAUCUCUUGACCUCAAGAUCCACCCAUAUCAGCCUCCCAAAGUGCUGAGAUUAUAGAUGUGAGCCACCGCACUUGGCCAGGAUUCCCUAUUUAAAUGGUGCUGGGAAAACUGACUAGCCAUAUGCAGAAAACUGAAACUGGACCUCAUCCUUACACCUUAUGCAAAAAUUAACUCAAGAUGGAUUAAAAACUUAAAUGUAAAACCCCAAACCGUAAAAAACCCUAGAAGAAAAUCUAGGAAGUUCCAUUCAGGACAUAGGCAUAGGCAAAGAUUUUAUGAUGAAAUCAUCAAUAGCAAUUGCAACAAAAGCAAAAAUUGACAAAUGGGAUCUAAUUAAACGUAAGCACUUCUGCACAGGGAAAGAAACUAUCAUCAGAGUGAACAAGCAACCUAUAGAAUGGGAGAAUAUUUUUGCCAUCUACCAAUCUGACAAAGGUCUAAUAUCCAGAAUCUACAAGGAACUUAAACAAAUUUACAAGAAAAUAAUAACCCCAUCAAAAUGUGGGCAAAGGCCAUGAACAGACAUUCUGAAAAGAAGACAUUUAUGCGUCCAACAAACAUAUGAAAAAAAAAAAGCUCAACAUCAGUGUUUAUUAGAGAAAUGCAAAUCAAAACCACAAUGAGAUACCAUCUCAUGCCAGUCAGAAUGGCAAUUAUUAAAAAGUCAAGAAACAACAGAUGCUAGAGAGGCUAUGGAGAAACAGGAACACUUUUAUACUGUUGGGAACGUAAACUAGUUCAACCAUUGUGGAAGACAGUGUGGCAAUUCCUGAAGGAUCUAGAAGCAGAAAUACCAUUUGACCCAGCAAUCCCAUUACUAGGUUUAUAUCCAAAGAAAUCUAAAUCAUUCUAUUUUAAAGAUACAUGCACACUUAUGUUUAUUGCAGCACUAUUCACAAUAGCAAAGACAUGGCAUCAACCCAAAUUUCUAUCAAUGAUAGAUUGGAUAAAGAAAAUGUGAUACAUAUGCACCAUGGAAUACUAUGCAGCCAUAAAAAGGAAUGAGAUCCUGUCUUUUGCAGGGACAUGGAUGAAGCUGGAAGCCAUAAACUUCAGCCAAUUAACACAGGAACAGGAAACCAAACACCACAUGUUCUCAUAAGUGGGAACUGAACAAUGAGAACACAUGGACACGGAGGGGCAGAACACACACCGGAGCCUGUUGGGAAGGUAGGGGGAAGGAGAGCAUCAAGAUAAAUAGCUAAUGCAUGUGGGGCUUAAUACCUAGGUGAUAGGUUGAUAGGUGCAGCAAACCACCAUGGCACAUGUUUAACUAUGUAACAAACCUGCACAUCCUGUACAUGUAUCCUGGAACUUAAAAUAAAAUAGAAAAGACAAAGAAGGAUAUUACAUAAUGGCAAAGGCUUCAAUUCAACAAGAAGACCUAACUAUCCUAAAUAUAUAUUCAUCCAACACAGGAGCACCCAGAUUCAUAAGUAAAGUUCUUAGAGACCUACAAAGUAUGUUUCACAGUAAUAGUGGGAGACUUUCACACUCCAAUGACAGUAUUAGAUCAUUGAGGCAAAAAAAUGAACAAAGAUAUUCAGGACCUGAACUCAACAUUGGAUCAAAUGGAUCUGAUAGACCUUUACAGAACUCUGCACUCAAAAACAACAGAAUAUGCAUUCCUCACAUCAUCAUAUGCCACAUACUCUAAAAUCAACCACAUAAUUGGACAUAAAGCAAUCCUCAGCAAAUGCAAAACAACUGAACUCAUACCAAAUACACACUGAGAUCACAGUGCAGUAAAAAUAGAAGACUAAGAAAAUUGCUGAAAAUCAUGCAAUUACAUGGAAAUCAAUCAACAUGCUCCUGAAUGACUUUUUAAUAAAUAAUGAAAUUAAGGCAGAAAACAAGAAGUUCUUUGAAAAUAAUGAGAACAAAGUUGCAACAUACUAGAGCCUCUGGACAUAGCUAAGGCAAUGUUAGGAGGGAAAUUUAUAGCACUAAAUCCCACAUCAAAAAGUUAGGAAGAACUCAAAUUAAUAACCUAACAUCACAACGGAAAGAACUAGAGAAGCAAGACAAAACCCCAAAGCUAGAGGAAGACAAGAAAUAACUGAAAAUCCGAGCUGAAUUCAAAGAAACCGAGACAUGAAGAAAAAAAAAUUCAAAAGAUCUACGAAUUCAGGGUAGGUUUCUUGAAAAUAUUAAUAAGAAAGUCUGCUAGCAGACUAAUACAGAGGAUGAUUGAAAUAAACACAAUUAGAAAUGACAAAGGGAAUGUAAUUACCACUGACCCCACAGAAAUAGAAACAACCAUCAGAAACUACUGCAAACACUUCUGUGCAUACAAACUAGAAAACUUCAAAGAGAUGGAUAAAUUCCUGGACAAAUACACCCUCCCACAACUGAGCCAGGAAGAAAUUGAUUUGCUGAACAGACCAAUAACAAGCUCCGAAAUUGAAUCAGUAAUAAAUAACCUACCAAUCAAAAAAAGCCCAGAACAUGAUGGAUUCCCAGCCAUAUUCUACUAGAAGUACAAAGAAGAGCUGGUACCAUUUUUACAGGAACUAUUUGAAAAUAUUGAGGAGGAGGAACUCCUCCCCAACUCAUUCUAUGAGGCCAACAUCAUCUUGAUACCAAAAUCUGGCACACACACACACACACACACACACACACACACACACACACAAACUUCAGGCCAAUACCCUUGAUGAACAUCAAUGCAAAAAUCCUCAACAAAAUACGGGCAAACCAAAUCCAGCAGCACAUCAAAAAGUUAAUCCAUCAUGAUCAAGUAUGCUUCAUCCCCAGGAUGCAAGGUUGCCUCAACAUACACGUCAAUUAAUCUGAUUCAUCCCAUAAACAAAACUAAAGAUAAAAACCAUGUGAUUAUCUCAAUAUAUGCAGAAAAGGCUUUCAAUAAAAUUCAAGGCCUCUCCAUAUUAAAAACUCUAAAAAAUCUGGGUAUUGAGGAAACAUAGCUCAAAGUGAUGAGCUGUUUUUGUACCAGUAUCAUGCUGUUUUGGUUACUGUAGCCCUGUAGUAUAGUUUGAAGUUGGGUAACAUGAUGCCUCCAGCUUUGUUCUUUUUGCUGAGGAUUGCUUGGCUAUUAGGGCUCUUUUUUUUUUUGGUUCCAUAUGAAUUUUGAAAUAGUUUGCUCUAGUUCUGUGAGGAAUGCCAUUGGUAAUUUAAUAGGGAUAACUUGCAUCUGUAAAUUACUUUGGGCAGUAUAGCCAUUUUAAUGAUGUUAAUUCUUCCUAUCCAUGAGCAUGAAAUGUUUUUCCAUUUGUUUGUGUCUUCUCUGAUUUCUUUGAGCAGUGUUUUGUAAUUCUCCUAGAGAUCUCUUAGAGAUCUUUCACCUCCCUGGUUAGCUGUAUUCCUAGGUAUUUUAUUUUUUCUGUGUGUAGCAAUUAUGAAUGGGAUUAUGUUCUUCAUUUGACUCUCUGCUUUACUGCUAGGAAUUUUUGCACAUUGAUUUUGUAUGCUAAGACUUUGCUAAAGUUUAUCAGCAGAAGGAGCUUUGGGGCUAAGACUAUGGGGUUUUCUAGAUAUAGAAUCAUGUCAUCUGUAAACAGAGACAGUUUGACUUCCUGUCUAUUCCUCUCUUCCCUCCUCUAUUUGGAUGCCCUUCCAGUUUUGCACAUUCAGUGUAAUGUUGGCUGUGGGUUUGCCAUGGCUAGCUCUCAUCAUUUUGGCACUUCCGACUAGAAGUGCGAGAGGGGCCAGUGUUGUUGUUACCUGAAAGGUAAGUGCAGCCCACAAAAAUGCAGUGAAGAAGAAGAUAUAUGCAUAUGUUUAAGUUAAUACAAUUGAGAUACAUUUAGCAGACAGAAUCAAUAGAGUUGAUGAGUGACUGACUGGAUGUGUGGGGAGUUUAUAUCACUCCCAGGUUUUUGACUUGGGCAACCGGGCACUCAAGAAGGAAAAAGAGGAUCCAGGGAGAGGAACUUUUCUGAGGACUGGGGUAGGGCUGAACAGCUGCAUUCGAGACUGGUGGAGGGUGGGCUGGGCAUGGGAUGCACAAAUGGAAAUUCCACUGGGUCUGCAGCUCACACAUAGGCAUGACCAGCAUAGAGAUAGAGAGGCCCCAGUGCUGCUGAGUAACUGUGAUUCCCCAGGUGAUGGCAUCAGCUGAGAAGGGAAGGAAGCCCAUGUGAGGACACUGAAGAAGGAGUGAGCAGACAAUAAGAAGCCCACAGAAGACAGAGAAGGAACAACUAGAGGGAGAAGCCAAGGCAGGCAUGUGUGAUAACAUAUAGGAACUGAGGGAGAGGACAUUUCAAGAUGGAGGGGAUGCCAUACAACAGGACUAUGUGAUGGUUUUUGGCUGUGUCCAUAGGAAGUCACAACAGGCAAGGGAAAGAAACCAGAACCCAGUCAUGGAGUUAAGAAGUGAGUCAGAGAGGAGAUGGGUAGGGACAGUGAGGUAAGGCCUCUUUCUAAGGAAGUUUGGCUGAAGGAUAGACUAGCUGGACACAUGCUGGCUGUGUGGGGUAGAGGGAGGAAUGAUGGAGGGUAGGAGAGCCUUGAGCCUGCGAGAAGAGUCUCCUAGAAUAGAGAAGCUGAGGUUAAAGUUGUGGAAGACAGUGGGGAUAACUGAGUGACAGAUAAUCAGGAGAAGAAAAGGAGAUCCAGAAUCAUGACAGAGAGAUGACCUUUGCCAAGAGCACAGCCAUCUUUCACUGUCACAGAGAGGUAGGACAAAACGAUUGGUGUUCAAGAAUUGGUUUGUAGCACAAUAUUUUAACUAUGUCCUUUAAAAAGUUUCUCCACAGACACUACCCAAAGCAGUCCUUCACUACAGUGGCAGACAGACCUGAAAAUUUUCAUCUGAAGCAGCAGAGUGAACUGCAGAGUCAGGUCACCAACCAGUGUGGAGGCUAAAAGCGGGCCUCUUUGGGGAUUCCAGGUGGAAGUGUUGGACAUCUGUAGUAUUCCUGGUCUCAAAUCAUCCUGAUAUUCUUCAUUUUGUUAUUCACAUUGGACUAGGGCAAGGAAAUGAGUUCUGGUCAGAGUCAAUGUUUCCCAACAAUGUUGAUUUAUUUGGUCCUAAAUAUUUAAACACAUUUUAUAAAUAGCUUUUCCACACCACAUAUAUAGGGAAAAACAGGGAAUUAACUUGGCCCAGCAGCACUGUUUGUGGGGCUAACACCCUGUGUAUCUCACACCAACCCUAAGCUUUGUUUCCCUCCUGUCACUUUGCUCCUAUUUCUUUCAUAUGAAAGAAUGUUCAUUUUCUUUGAAAAUGAGCUCAUUUCCUCAUUUUCUUUCCAUCUUUCAGCAGGAACAAAGAUCACCACAACUGGCUCCCCUUCAACUAUGUUAGAUGGCAACUUGCCUUCAGUAUGGUGAAACACAUCAGUUAAGACUGGGGUUGUGCAUGGCAGGACUUUCUACAAGGACACCCAGUCUCCUUAAUAAACAUGAGAUGCUCUCUUUCCAGAAGUUCUCUUGCCUGACACAGCAUAGGAAGAUGCUGAACGGCCA